This 2216-nucleotide long non-coding RNA is filed under the name Sus scrofa (pig). Its description in RNAcentral is "lncRNA (ENSSSCG00060003997.1)". Lineage: Eukaryota; Metazoa; Chordata; Mammalia; Artiodactyla; Suidae. The record is from RNAcentral.
CCUCCCAUCAGGGAGCCUACAGCAAGCCCCCUUACCAACUUCAGCCACAAGGGGGGCAGACACCAGAAGUAAGAGAGGCUACAACUCUACUGUCUGCAAAAAGAUCACCACACCAAAAACCUAUAAAAAUGAAACAACAAAGAACUAUAACUCAGAUAAGGGAGAAAGAAAAAAAAAAAGAAAACAGAAAAACAGCUAAGUGAUCAGGAGAUUUUCAGCCUCCAGGUAAAAAAGACUUUAGACUGUUGAUGCUAAAGAUGACGCAAGACAUUGGAAAUAAACUGGAGGCAAAGAUUGUUAUUAAUAGGAAACACUGAGCAAAGAAAUACAAGAUAUGAAACUUAAGGAAAAAGAGAUGCAAAAUACAAUAAUUGAAUUCCAGAUAUAAAGAUUUAAAAUUUGUGAGAUCUGGUCUAUUUCUGAUUUUCCUUUAUUCCUAGAACAUAGAUUUCUUGGGUUCUCAACUUUAAAUCUAGAUUUUUUUUUUUUCACGGUCUCUUCUCCUUGGUAGAAUUUGACCUCCUAUUUUUGUCUCUUCAGCACUGUGAAAUUGCAAAAUUUUCUCCUUAUUCUUCUUGAUUUCGUGGAAUUCCAUCUCACAAAAUUUAGUAAUUUGCAAAUUCAUCAAGAAAACAGUGGCAGAGAAUACCAAUUUCACCUCAAUAUGCUUUCCUUUUCCUAAGACCCUUCGAAACCUGCCUACUUUGAAUUCUCUACAAUGCCUUCUUCGGUCAGCUACUUUUUAUAUUUUCUCUAGCUUUUAUAUUGUUUUCAAAGUAGAAGUUGUCCUGAUAAAAAGAUACUUUUUAUUUAUUUAUUUAUAUAUGAGUUAUUUAUUUAUUUUGGCUACCUCAUGUCAUAUAGUGUUCCCGGACCAGGGAUCAGAUCCAAGCUGCAAUUGUGACCUACAUCUCAGCUGUGGUAUCAGUGGAUCCUUUAACCCACUGCACUGGGCCAGGGAUCGAACCCAAGCCAUGUUGUUGCAGAGAUGCUGUGAUCCUGCUGUACUAUAGCAGGAACUCCAAUAACAAGAUACUUUAUCAUAUUUCAAGAAAAAAAAAAAAACAGUAUAUCUCUUACAGCCUUUUCGGGUUCCAAUAAAAUUAUUUACUUAUUUGUCUUAUACUCAUUACUAGAUUAAGAGUUUCUUACAAGCAAGGACUCUGACUCAUUAUCUUUGGUUGUUCAGGGACUGAAAUACAAUCAGCUAUCAGUAAUUAUUAAUGUUUUCAGUUAUAUCUUUUUUUUCUCCAAAAAGGAAAAAAUGUCUGCACACUUCUCUUCUGAACUACUUACUCUCCCCAUCCCUGAAUAUCUCUCUACCUGCUACUUUCUAGAUUGCUACUACUAUCCUCCCAUUCUAUCCCCUGAUCUCCUUUAAAAAAAAACAAAAUAAAACAAAACAAAAAGCCUAUUGUAAAAUACUUUAGGGCUAUUUUUUCCUUCCUAACCUUAACCAGGUGUGAUCAGAACAUAAUCUAUCAUAUCUCAGCAAAUAUAUUCUCAACAUCCUGUGGCACCUUGGAUUCUUUAAGUGAAAAGUCAGUGUUCCCUCUCUGUCAAACAGACUGUGAGCCUGUUGACACCAGAAGCUGUACCUUUUGCUUAGCAUAAGGGAAUACCCUUAGGAAGUGGAUUCAGCACCAGGUAAAACAUUGGCCGUUUGAGCAAUGUGGACUUGGUCAUCUGUAAACCUCAAAAAGGAGGCUAAAUUAUAUUUUAGUUGGAUAGGCAUAACAAACCAAAACCAUAACAGAAUUAAAUUAAAUUUCUUCAAUAAUGUAAACAAAUGGAGACUUUUCAAUAACUUAAUUUCUCAUGAAUGCUUGCAUUUAUCUUCAUAUCCUUAGAAUCUGUUCUCUAGGCAGAAGAUGCCUACUCUUUAAUAGAACUUGAUUGUAAAAUGGUAUCUAGUGUCAAUCUUUAUGUGCUUCUAAGCAUUGAAAUUCAUAGUAAAUAAGCUUUUAAUCAGCAAUUACACAUAGUAAAGAUGUAAAUAGACACAUGAGAGUAAAAUAUCAGUAUCAUUGUUUACUCAUAUUCAAAUACUGAUUGAAACAAUUCCUACCAUUUUGCUUAACAUUCAAAAUUGUAUUGGAUCUACCUUUACAUAUUAGAACAAUGACCUGUGGAAUUUUUUUAAAUUAUAUCAGUCUUUGAAGAUUAGCAAAUACGCCCCUUCUGGGUGUCACUUUUAUCUAGUUCAGCAUCAUUUG